UACGGAGGGGGCAAGCGUUAUCCGGAUUCACUGGGUUUAAAGGGUGCGUAGGCGGGCAUGUAAGUCAGUGGUGAAAUCUCGGAGCUUAACUGCGGAACUGCCAUUGAAACUGUAUGUCUUGAGUAAUGUAGAGGUGAGCGGAAUAUGUCAUGUAGCGGUGAAAUGCAUAGAUAUGACAUAGAACACCGAUUGCGAAGGCAGCUUGCAACGCAAAUACUGACGCUGAGGCACGAAAGCGUGGGUAGCGAACAGG
This 253-nucleotide ribosomal RNA is filed under the name uncultured bacterium. Its description in RNAcentral is "partial 16S ribosomal RNA". It matches the Rfam family "Bacterial small subunit ribosomal RNA", at positions 524 to 776 of the family's 1533-position model. The record is from RNAcentral.